Molecule: long non-coding RNA, 1252 nt
Organism: Triticum dicoccoides
Lineage: Eukaryota; Viridiplantae; Streptophyta; Magnoliopsida; Poales; Poaceae
Exons: 5
Source: RefSeq, a predicted model, not a curated record
UAACUCUAAUCAAUAACCGUUACAAAGCCUCCUAAUUAGAAAUAACUCUAAUCAAUAACCAUCACAAAGCCACCUAAUUAGAACUAACUCUAUUCAAUAACCGUUACAAAGCCUCUGUGUGUGUGACCUCUGCUCUUUCCAUUUUCUUGGCUUGCAAGUCGCCGCUGGAGCCGGACAAGGUCAUGAUGACUUGCCUUACCUGGUGAGGUACUGACUAGGAAGAGUACAAGCCGCCACCACCAUGUACCAGAUGGCGCCGUCAAGGACAUCAUACUGCUGAUGAUCUACAGAAAGUUGAAAUGUGCCUAGCUCAAAUCCAUUUGUCACUCAAGCGUCUUCCUUUCUACUUCAUAUAUGGUUCUGCUUCUAUCUUUGCCUGUAUUGCUGAAGAUAGAAUGGAUCUUCUUAGGGCUGCGAUUAUUGGCCCUAAGGGAACACCCUACCAUGAUGGCCUCUUCUUCUUUGAUGCACAUUUUACCUCUAAUUAUCCUUCUGAGCCUCCGGUAUAUAAGCUUCCGGCAUUUUUAUCAUUUUACUAAAAUGCUUAACACUGAUGGUGCUGCAGUUGGUGCAUUACCAUUCUGGAGGGCUUUGACUUAAUCCGAACUUGUAUAAUUGUGGAAAAGUCUGCCUCAUUGGUUUUGUAAACUACCAUGAGGGCUCUUCAUCUCCAGUCGCUGGUCCACUGCUUCUCUGGUUUUAUAAAAAAGCUGCAGUAACAACUAAGCAUCCGAUAUAUAAUAACAUCAUGAAAGGGGCACGGAGCGGCGAUCCAAUAUACACCGGCGACGAAGGAAGUGGGGAUGGACAUUCGUGGAUUUGCCGUCCCUGAUUUGCUUUGUGGAGGUGUAAUCUUUCAUAAUGUGUUGUUAACAUAUCUCUGGAAUAAGUUCUUAUGUUCAGUACAUAUAGUUUGGCUGAUUAUCUUUUAGGGGCCUUCUUUGGAAAGGCUUCGACAGACUGUUUGAAUUACUGCCUUAUUAGGUUAAUGGAAUUUGAACAUGUGACUUUAUCUUAGUGUCAACCAUACAAAGGAAUUAGUGACCUGUUCUUAAUGAUAUAUAGAGGAGUAGGCAGUAAUGCAUGGUAAUAAUAAAAAAUGCAUCAUGUGUGUGUGCAGGACACAUGCCCAUGAUUCAUAAUGAUUUGUGGCAGUCUUAGAAGAAAAAUUCCCAUUGCUUUCAUCCCCUUUUGAGUGUCAAUUGCAAAGUUCAUCCGUUGGUGAAAGGAAACUGUACUCUUCUUUGUUUUA